CCCCUCACAGGAUGGCACCUGGAGAGUUUCCAGUGCUCUUCCAGUCUCGGCUAUGAGAGGGAGAGUCAAGUAAAGGCAUAAUCAUUCCAUUUCUAGCUUGAGCAGUGGCUAGGUAGUGGAAGACAAUCUGCUACAAGU
This is a small nucleolar RNA of Tachyglossus aculeatus (Australian echidna), 138 nucleotides long. The record is from RefSeq and is a predicted model, not a curated record. Lineage: Eukaryota; Metazoa; Chordata; Mammalia; Monotremata; Tachyglossidae.